Molecule: ribosomal RNA, 253 nt
Filed under: uncultured bacterium
Lineage: Bacteria
Description: partial 16S ribosomal RNA
Rfam family: Bacterial small subunit ribosomal RNA
Source: RNAcentral
UACGUAGGGUGCGAGCGUUGUCCGGCAUUAUUGGGCGUAAAGGGCUCGUAGGCGGUUUGUCGCGUCGGGAGUGAAAACUCGGAGCUUAACUCCGAGCCUGCUUCCGAUACGGGCAGACUAGAGGUAUGCAGGGGAGAACGGAAUUCCUGGUGUAGCGGUGAAAUGCGCAGAUAUCAGGAGGAACACCGGUGGCGAAGGCGGUUCUCUGGGCAUUACCUGACGCUGAGGAGCGAAAGUGUGGGGAGCGAACAGG